Molecule: long non-coding RNA, 2780 nt
Filed under: Sus scrofa (pig)
Lineage: Eukaryota; Metazoa; Chordata; Mammalia; Artiodactyla; Suidae
Description: lncRNA (ENSSSCG00045018553.1)
Source: RNAcentral
AUCCUCUGAAAUGCUUCAGUUAUUUAUUUACACAUUCAUGGGUCGUCACCCCCUCCCCUCUGCAACAAGGUAUUCCCAGCACCUAAUAUAAUGUCUGGUACAUAUUGGGAGCUCAGUAAAUAUUUGUUACAUAAGAAUAAAAGCAGGAAGGAAAGGAGGAGGUAGGGAGAAGGAAAAAAAAAAAAAGCAAAAACCCUAAUCCCUCUUAGCAUCACAUAAAAAACAUACAUCACAUUUUGUCUUUAUGAUAGGAGUGGAGUAGGCACAGGUAGUUUUAGAAGUCCCAAUAAGGACAAGAGAGAAUGAGGGAAACUUAGGGGACGUUGGAAGAUCACUGUAAGUAAAUAAAUGCUCAAAAAACCUGCCUUGCUUUUUUUGCUCAAAAGCAAGCGAUGGCUUUUUUGCAGAAUUUAUUAACUUAGGGUGAUCUCCCCAAAUCCCCUAGAUUUCCCUCUCUUUCUACGAUCCUUUUUUGGGACUUCUACAACCACCUGUGCCUCGGCCAUCCCUAUCAAUUAAGUCUUGCAUUAUGGACCCAACAUUACUAAGGGUGGAAAGGGGGAAGGUACAGGGUGUGUGGGCAACUGCCCAGUCCCAGCUGGCCAUUUUCUGUGGUUCAUAUGGAAACGUUUCGAAAUAUAAGAGACAAAUCGGGGAGGGUUAGUUAAGGUUGAAGAGUUCCGAGUGAUGGACUGAGGAAUCUAGAUUAAAUCAGUAUGCAUGAAGGAUGGCACACACCAUUUAAAAGAGGGUCCUGGAGCCAAACCACCAAGGUUCACACUCCAGCUCCACUGUUCACUGCGGCAUGAUAUUGGGCAAAUUAAAUAAUUUCCAUCUACCUCCGUUUCCUCAUAUGUAACAACAUCACAGAUUUCUUGUGAACAUUAUAUUGCAAGUUCAUCUUGUGUGUGUGUGUUUGUCUUUUUUAGGGCCUCACCCAAGGCAUAUGGAGGUUCCCAGGCUAGGGGUCUAAUCAGAGCUGUAGGUGCUGGCCUACGCCAGAGACAUAGCAGUGUGGGAUCCCAGUCACGUCUGCAACCUACACCGCAUUUCACGGAUCCUUAACCCACUGAGCAAGGCCAGGGGUCAAACCCGAAAUCUCAUGGUUCCUAGUUGGGUUCGUUUCCUCUGUGCCAGGACAGGAACUCCCACAAGUUCAUUAUUAGCUAAGAGCAUCGCAGAACGGUAAGUGGUAGCUGCUAUUAUUAUUGAUAUUAUUUAUUACUAUUAUUUGAACAGAAAUAAGUAGUUGAUUUGCAAGGAGCAGAAACAGAAGACGGCCCUUUCAGUGUUAUAACUUACACGGGCAUGGUGAUCAAUUUUGAGUAAGACAGCCAAGAAAAGUGAUGUCUUAAACCUCUUCUCCAAUCCCCAAAGGUUUGGUUUUUCUCCAGGUGUUUCCUGACCCUUUAUGCAGUCAAUGUCUAGCUGGAGGUGACUUUAAGAAUUUCUAUGCAAAGUGGCAUGUACUAAUGCAAUGUACAUUCACUGACAUGCCAUUGGUAGCUUACAGUUUGUAAUCUAUCAAUGCAGUGUCAGGAGUAAAUCUAUUCCUGCAAAGUUGGGUGUACAUUAGUUUUUGUAAAUUGAAUAUUUUAAGCAAAAAAGGGAAGUCUUUCUUUAGAAAAAUACUGUCAUUAAUUUAUUUUUAAAAUGUAAGAGACUGCUACCCCAUUUGUCAUCUUUCUAGACGUAAUUAUUUAUUUGGGUGUGCCAAAGGCUGCAUAAAUAGUUUCUUCUUAAUAGCGUUACAGAGGAGGCUACCUGAAGCCAGAGCAGAGUUAAUCUUGAUUUUUUUUUCUCCUUUGCCUUUUCAGAAAAUCUAUAAAUAUUUCAACCUGCCGGUAUUAAUUUUCAGUGUGUCAGUUUUCUUUGGAUGUGACCAUUGGACAGGUGGCCUAAUGCUUUUCAUGGAAACUUAAAAGAAGAUGAAUAAUAAAUAGGAAUGUCUCUUACAAAGAAAAACUGUAAGAGCCGAGAGUGUUCACCUUUGAUUAGUAUAGGCUAAGGUGACAAUUGGCAUUUGCAGUCUCAGGGUGAAUUUGUUGCUCAGUGGGGUUCAACCAGAUCACAAAGAAUCAUUCUACUGAGUUCUUCGGAUUCCUGGGAGGUAAUGAGGCUCAUGUCAGGAAAUCUUAAUGGAACAUUUUGUUGGAAAAGACAUGCACCUAGAUCAUACUACAUUAGGCAGGCAUGUCUCAGGGCAAAGGCUGAGUGUCAGGGAGUUUUCAUCCAUCUCCAACUAAGUGAUUGUAGCAUGGCUAUCAGAGCCUAAGGCAAGUUCCUGUCUGUCUUUUUUUUUUUUUUUUUGCUUUGCUUUUAAGAGCCACACAUGCAGUAUAUGAAGUUCCUGGGCUAGGGGUUGAACUGGCCCUGCAGCUGCUGGCCUAUGCCACAGCCAUAGCCACAUCAGAUCUGAGCAGCCUCUGCAACCUAUGCAGCUCACCCAACACGCAUGGGAGCCUUAACCUGCUGAGCCAGGCCAGGGAUUGAACCCACAUCCUCAUGGAUACUAGUGGGAUUCUUAACCACUGAGCCACAGUGGAAAUUCCCCCCCCCCUUUUUUUCCAUCUUGUUUUGCCUUAUUUUUCUCCUGCCCCACCUUCCUCCCAUCCCCUUGCUUUCCUCCUUUUCUGUCCUCAGGAGGCAUUGCUGGCUCUACCGUUAGGAAUUCAUUUGGUCAAUGACCAACAGGAACACAAUAGAUCGUUGAAAUGAUAGAUUUCAAUAGGUUUCAAUGAUCUAUUGUUUGAAGUCAGACCUGCUUGGAGCCAUGUCUA